GUUCUCUCCUAUUGUGCUGGCCAUUAUAACUCCGGAGUAAGGGAAGAGGGUGCAAGGCCCUCGCGGUCCCGCCGCUGUAAAUGGGGACGAAACCCGGAACGGCCACUGUCUGAGAAGUGCGAGUGCCCGCCGUCAGUAUUUGAUUUGUAGGCGAGGCGCUAGAAGCUUCUCACAAGAUGGGAAGGCACGGGGAGUAGGGUGAACCAUGAGCCAGAAGACCUGCUCGGAGCAUUGACCGUCG
Molecule: non-coding RNA, 241 nt
Filed under: Nitrospira sp.
Lineage: Bacteria; Pseudomonadati; Nitrospirota; Nitrospiria; Nitrospirales; Nitrospiraceae
Source: RNAcentral